This 429-nucleotide ribosomal RNA is filed under the name bacterium. RNAcentral describes it as "partial 16S ribosomal RNA". It matches the Rfam family "Bacterial small subunit ribosomal RNA", at positions 355 to 776 of the family's 1533-position model. The record is from RNAcentral.
UAGGGAAUCUUCGGCAAUGGGGGCAACCCUGACCGAGCAACGCCGCGUGAGUGAAGAAGGUUUUCGGAUCGUAAAGCUCUGUUGUAAGAGAAGAACGUGUGUGAGAGUGGAAAGUUCACACAGUGACGGUAACUUACCAGAAAGGGACGGCUAACUACGUGCCAGCAGCCGCGGUAAUACGUAGGUCCCGAGCGUUGUCCGGAUUUAUUGGGCGUAAAGCGAGCGCAGGCGGUUUAAUAAGUCUGAAGUUAAAGGCAGUGGCUUAACCAUUGUUCGCUUUGGAAACUGUUAUACUUGAGUGCAGUAGGGGAGAGUGGAAUUCCAUGUGUAGCGGUGAAAUGCGUAGAGAUAUGGAGGGACACCGGUGGCGAGAGCGGGUCUCUGGUCUGUAACUGACGCUGAGGCUCGAAAGCGUGGGGAGCAAACAGG